UACAGAGGUCCCGAGCGUUGUUCGGAUUCACUGGGCGUAAAGGGUGCGUAGGUGGCUGGGAAAGUUUGAUGUGAAAGCUCAGGGCUUAACCCUGAAAUGGCAUUGAAUACUGCCUGGCUGGAGGUUUGGAGGGGGACUGGAAUUCUUGGUGGUAGCAGUGAAAUGCGUAGAGAUCAUGAGGAAGACCAGUGGCGAAGGCGGGUCUCUGGACAGUUCCUGACACUGAGGCACGAAGGCCAGGGGAGCAAACGGG
This 253-nucleotide ribosomal RNA is filed under the name uncultured bacterium. RNAcentral describes it as "partial 16S ribosomal RNA". It matches the Rfam family "Bacterial small subunit ribosomal RNA", at positions 524 to 776 of the family's 1533-position model. The record is from RNAcentral.